GAAUAUUGGACAAUGGGGGCAACCCUGAUCCAGCAAUGCCGCGUGAGUGAUGAAGGCCUUCGGGUUGUAAAGCUCUUUUGGCGGGGACGAUGAUGACGGUACCCGCAGAAUAAGCCCCGGCUAACUUCGUGCCAGCAGCCGCGUUAAUACGAAGGGGGCUAGCGUUGGUCGGAAUUACUGGUCGUAAAGGGCGCGUGGGCGGCCUUGUUAGUCGAGUGUGAAAGCCCUGGGCUUAACCCGGGAAGCGCGCUUGAUACUGCAGGGCUUGAGUGUGGGAGAGGUUGGUGGAAUUCCCAGUGUAGAGGUGAAAUUCGUAGAUAUUGGGAAGAACACCGGUGGCGAAGGCGACCAACUGGACCACAACUGACGCUGAGGCGCGAAAGCGUGGGGAGCGAACCGG
This 400-nucleotide ribosomal RNA is filed under the name uncultured bacterium. RNAcentral describes it as "bacterial SSU rRNA". It matches the Rfam family "Bacterial small subunit ribosomal RNA", at positions 359 to 776 of the family's 1533-position model. The record is from RNAcentral.